Long non-coding RNA from Dermochelys coriacea (leatherback sea turtle), 195 nucleotides. RefSeq lists it as uncharacterized. The transcript has 3 exons. NCBI's taxonomy places the organism in Eukaryota, Metazoa, Chordata, Testudines, Dermochelyidae. The record is from RefSeq and is a predicted model, not a curated record.
GGGGGCUGUCAGUCUCAGGGUCCUGAUUCCCCAUCGACCCUUCCCCCUUUUUAGUACUGGGAGCUAGCAACCAAAACACCCCCACUGAAUGUUAGUAAGGGGGCAACAGUCCCCUUACAUUCCCCCUUGCUAAAAUUCUGCCACAGCCACAAUAUUCACACCAGUACAUCCGGGCCCCAUAUUUGCAAGGUACUG